UCCCUCCGGAUUUCAUAUCCCUCAGACCUAAAUAAUGAUCUGAGUAGCUUUAAAAAAAGAGGAGGAAAAGUAAAAUUGAAAUGACCUUGGAGUCUUUAGUGACAACCAAGUUCAUCUCAAACCAAA
Molecule: small nucleolar RNA, 126 nt
Filed under: Echinops telfairi (small Madagascar hedgehog)
Lineage: Eukaryota; Metazoa; Chordata; Mammalia; Afrosoricida; Tenrecidae
Description: Small nucleolar RNA SNORA61 (ENSETEG00000026613.1)
Source: RNAcentral